CCUUGCUUUCUGCACAAGGAAGAUAUCAGGGUAAACAAUGCUAUUUGAUGGCAAUUUACUUCAAUCUGUGAAACGGAUCUUUCACGAUGUAAAUGGACAAGCGAAAAACUGACCUGCCUUCCAGAUCACCCUGUCCCCCCCUUCAGCCCUGGAAUGUGUAUUUAAAACAAAUUCUAAGCAUGUUAAACAGCCCAUCCCUAAUUCCAGAUGACCAAGCAAACCAUGAAAUGAAAGUCACACAGAUUAAACCUGGAACACUGUGGGAGGUCACCUCACAAGAAGUGACCAUCAGGAGGUCUGAAUCACUGAGUGCCUUUUGGAAGGCUGGCUAACACUGACAUUGAGCAAAUAGCUGAAAGAGGCCAUUUGAAGAGUUGAAUUCUGGAAAAGAUUUGAAAACUGGGCAUACCAACCCUGACCAGCUAAUUGCCAAUGAAGAAGAAUGAAUUACUCUGCAAUUAUAUUAAAGGUGAAAGAGGUCCCAGGGAACAAUUCUAACAAAAAAUGGACUGACAUGGGAUAAAAGCUUGAUUAGUGACAGCCAUGACUAUUAAGAUGUUGAGCUUGAGUUCAAAGGAAGGACAAGAGCAACUUUAUGUUUGACAAUCUUUAGACAAGGUCACCACCCUCCACCAAGUGUAUGCCAACUUAUUCAGGAAGAUGAACAUGUCUCUCUCUUUCAAGUUGAAGGCUUUCCUCACAUUCGUGAUGAUUCUUUGCUGUCCUUACUGAAAAAUGAGAUACUAAAAAAGCAAAUUGGAAUCUCUACAUGUAUGAAUGGAGUUGCUUAAUGGAAGAGUUGCACUGCAGGGUGAUGACAUAACAAGCCACAUCUCACAUCUGAUUUCUCCAGAAAAUAAAUAUCCCGUCUCUUGUCAAGGGUGGAUAGGGAAGGGGAGUCUAUCAGCUGAGCAGGGUGGAAGAGGGAAUCUGGGCCCUAAUAGCACUAUAUUUUUUUUCCAACCAAUUUCUCUGUUUCUUCGCCCCUAUUCAUCAUCUCUGCCCUUGUUAACAGCUUGUUGGAUAAAUACAGAGUUAAAAAGAAGUUACUAUUUUUUAGGGCUUAGUGUGUACCAGCCACUUUAGCUGAUUUAAGAAAGUUCCAUUUGAGGCUGCCAUCAACCAAGUCUUCUCAUCAAACAGUGCUUUUUGAAUGAUGAUAAGAACGACUCAAAACAUCCUACCUUAUAUGAUGCGAAACGGAAGAGAUGGCAUUUGCUAAUAGUCCAUCAAAGCUGCACUGGAGAAUUCUAGAACAGGAAUGGGGUGAGGAUGCAGUGGUAAAUGGAAUUGAGAAAUCCUUAAAUGGCUAGGGAUACAAUACCAGUUCAGAAAUAAUAUUGGUAUUAGACUAUAGAGAGCUAAGGACAAUGGCAGGUGAUAUGUGGGAAGGAUGGAGAUUACCAUGCGCAGGACUCUAGUGGUUAAGAACAAGGAUCUGAGUUUGAGUUCUAGCUUUCAUGUCUCCUCACCAACUCUGGCUUCAAUUUCUGUCUUUGGCUGAAUUCUCCAUUAUUGCUCUGAAUCUCUCCCUUGCUUGUGCUUUUCUGGAGUCAGGCCAUGGUGAAUACCACCCCAGUGCCUUCACUCCACAGAGUACCCCAGACAGAAGAUAAUAUAUGAGCUUCUCUACAGAUGGUUUAGAAAAGAGUGAUGGGGCAGUGGUGGAGAGAUGGGUACUCACAGCACUUUCAGAGAGAUUGACUAAAGAUUGGCUUUUGGCCAUCGUGGUUUUUUUAAAAUCUCUCUCUGCAACUGCCACUGGCUCUUAGCUUAUCUCUAGCUAAUUUGCUGGCUAGCUCUCUUUUCUCCAGAGCCCCCUCUGCCUCUUUCCAUGCUUGCUCCUGGGAGCUCUCAGAUUCUUAUUUUAUUAUAAGCAAAAUUUAGUUUUCUUUGUUUCAAUUUUCUACCUUAAGGAACUGUACAGAGACCAUCAUUUUGUUGAUAAAUGGCCUAUUAAUGUAUUUUGCUAAGCAAAAGGUUAUCUGAUCCAGAAAGGAAUGUUGCCACCCCUUACAGAGACAGAUGUGGCUACACAUUUUAUCAGUAAAGAAUAGUUCUGUUUUUCUCCCACCUUCAUAUUGUACGGUCGCAUUUUUAUGAAUAAAUAUGUGUGUAUGCACAUACA
Long non-coding RNA from Equus asinus (donkey), 2128 nucleotides. Lineage: Eukaryota; Metazoa; Chordata; Mammalia; Perissodactyla; Equidae. The record is from Ensembl.